CUCAGGUGCACAGCCUCUGGUCCCCCUCUUCUCAGCCGCGCUCCAUCUUGGUGAUGUCCCACUUCCAGGAAGUUCUGGCAUCUGCCCACCUUCCCCACGCCUCCAUCCGCCUGCCAUCCAGUCUUAGAUUCACUGGCCACCCCAGCGUUGACUGCAGGCCAACUGUCACAGACACCUGGACGACAGCACAGCGUGGAGGGCCAGCUGCUUCCUCCUUGGACCAAAUCACCAGCACAUGGUCCAGACUAUUGGCAAGUAGACCUCAGAGUCUGGAAUCUGCCAGACAGCUGUUUCUUGUAACUUAAAAAAAAAAAAGUACUAAGUAAUAUGUGGCAAGUACCGUCUUUGACCUCUAACUUGCACUGGGCAAUGGGGAUGUUGAGGUAGAGCGGCCCCGCCCACAAGGAGCCCAGACAGCCCCCACUGAGCAGUCACACCAGCACAGUGAGGACAAGGUAGUGUCAGGCUUUGAAUCGUGGAGGUCAAACAGGAUUGAGAUACGGCCUCAACCUUCGCUUCUUGCUUCCAGCAAAGUGGCUUCUCUGAUGAAGCAGGAGAAAAGCGCCAUUCUUGGAGCAGUCUGGGCCCCUAGAGUUGGACAUGUGCCUUUUUAGGGGACUGAGGUCCCUGCAAGACUUUCAGCCCUCCUCCUGGUCCCUGACUCCAGACUCAGCUUCCAGAACGUUCUAGGAAGGAAUAGACUCGCCACAGUGAGGUGGAGUGAACAUGUUUUACUCCCCACCUGGCUGCGGCAACCUUAGCUCUGAUUCUGCUGCUUACUGCCUGCAGUCUGAUCCCUCCCAGUGCACAGCAGCCAGAACGGUCACUCCACAGCCUGCCUCUUACAGCCUAAAACCCUUCACCAUGGCCCCAGUGCCCUCACCACAAAGUCCACCAUCCUUACCAUGGCCAACAAGGCCCUCCACCAGCUGUGCCUGGCCUACUUUUCUAAGCCAUCCCCUCCCUAAUUCCGCUUCAACUCCUCCAGCAAGUUAAGUCCUCCCCAGGUAUAGACAAAGGGCAUUCCAUGUGGAUGGAACAGCCUGGGCUAGUGCUCAGAUCUGAAAGAGUCUGCAUGUUGAAAGAGGUGAAGGUGCACCCAGCAAGCUGAGUCCUGAGUGCAGCAGCUCCCUGAGCUCUGAUUCCGCCACACACUCUGCUGACACACAAGGUCUGUUCCAAGACACCGUCCCUUACCGCCCUCUGGGCCUUUGUGUAGCUCCCCUUCUCUGGAAUAACAAGUUCAAGUCCUCAUCCUUAUCCAAGCAUCCAAAUCCUUCUCCUUCUGAGCUCAGCUUCGAGCAGUGUUCACAGGCUGCUCUGGAGGGGCGUGAUGCAGAGUCAGGUAGCUCUAUUUCCAUUAAUGCCACUUGCACAUCUGCUUUUGCCACAAAAGUGGCAGCAUCUGAGAGUGCCAGGACUGUCUCUUACCCACCUUCGUGUCCCCAAAGUCAAGCCUCAUCGUGGCCUACAGCAGGCACUCCAUACUCAUUGGUUAAGACUAGGACCAAAUUUCUUUGCCAGGCCACAUGCAUUCAGGAUGAGUCGUCUUCAAACAGGAAGAACAGUGACCCAUUUGUCAAAGUCUGUGGGGAACCCAGCUCAUCAGGAAGGACAGGAGAGAGGCUGUCGGGUGAGCAGGUGAGAUGCAUCAGGGUGAUGUUUCCCUGCUGUCCCUGGUCCCAGGAACCACCAGAAGCUCAUGUUAAUAACUCACUUACCCAAACUGAUGAACCUGAGUCUCCAGGGAAGGGCCUAAAAAUUUGCCCUUUUUAUCAGACUGCCCAGGGGUGAGUCAUGACUGGUUAACACUGUCCAGAUCAGUGCAGGAGCAGCAAAGGUUGCUUUCUGGACAGACUUCAGAAACACCUGGCCAGGGCUCAGAAAAGUCCCAGGGCUGCCUGUGGAGGGGGAAGCCACGUCCCAGAGGGUUUAGCAGCCUAUCUGCCCACAGUGCCCAGCCUCCUCCUGGUGGGGCCCAAGUCCCAGAAACGACAGACAGUGGACCUCUGAGAAAGAAAGGGCACCAAGAGCUUUGAAACAGUAAUGAUACAGACAGAUUGCCUCAUUUGUUUUCAAAGAAAACUCUUAAAUGGUUUUCAGACCUCGGGUUCACAGGAUUGGCUUACACAGUCACAUAUCAAUGAGGAAGUGUCAGGAACUGACCCCGCCCACCAACUGGGUUGAUCUCAUAUUUGUUUAUGCAAGACAACUGAAUAUACAAAAAAAACAAAAAAACUCUAGGUGUGGCCAGCCCCUGAUUGCCCCCACCCUGGUAUGUGGGUGUUUUAAUCACAAUCCUUGGUUCUUAAGAUACCUUCAUGAUGUUUUCCCCAACAAAGCGCUCUCUUGUUAUUUAUGUUUUUACUUUUUAUUGUGCAUUCUUGCUAUUUUAUUUCAUUGAUUUGUUGCCCUAUUAUUACAUUUUGGUAAGUACCUACAAACACCCCACCUGCCAUAACCACCUUGCCCUUGACAGUAACGGACUUCUUCUCUUUCCAUCCCUUCCAUCCUGUGCCAAGAAGACUCAGGCUGGCCAGAGGGCCUUCCAGGGGCCCCAGAUGGCCUCCCAGAUGCCAAUCAUUUCUGGGAUUCUGGUGCACUGGUUUGCAACCCUCCUGCUGAUUAGAAUCCCCCGGGGCCACUGACUGAUUCAUAUUUGAGUAGGACCUAAGCAAUAGUGUUUUUAAAACUCUCCCCAGGCUUUUCUACUAAGAACCCCUGCAAAGACUCCUCACUUAGCGUUCUCCCCACCCCUGGGUGGGUGAGACAUGAAUCAUCUAAGAAGUUUGGGGUGGGGAGGGAGGUGGCUGCAUACACAGAACUCGACCCCUCCCACCCAGUAAUCCAAUACACUUUCCUAAAGAUACCCUACCCCCAUGCCUACCUGCUGUGCAGCUGAGAGAUGUUACUGAAGCGGUGUGUUGGGUGAGUGGCCAGCACAUUUCUCAACAUGGGGCAUGGAACACACCCACGCCCCGAGCCACUGGAGGCUUUGUUUAUUAUGCACGGAACUGAAUCAGAAUUUCUGGAGGCUGAGGCUCAGGAAUUUGCAUUUCUAACGUGCACCCCGAGCUGAUUCGCAGUCACUUGUGUGAGAAUGGCUGAGGCAAGGGCAGGGAGCACAGGACGUUGAGACCUCCAGGGGCAAGUUGACACCUGCAGAGGCCAAGUCUGCGUCUUAUCCAUUCCUGCGUCUCUGACACCUGUAGGGGUUAAAGGACAAAUAAUGAGCUUGAAACACAUGCACUCAUGCUAUUUUAGUCAAGAGUCUUUUUCUUCUGAAUGACAGACUCCCAGCUCAAACAAGCUGAGUAAGAAGAGGAAUCCAGUAGCUUAUUUUGCGGAGCAAUUCAUGAGCGCCUUCAGGCAAAGCUGGAACAAGGUACUCAAGUGAAGGCAUCAAGGCUCUACUGAUCCAAUCUCCACCUCUCCGUAUCUCAUCUCGGCUUCUCUCUGUGGGUAGAGAAAUUGGACAGUAACAGCUCCGUACAUGGUUCUCACAGCUUCGCACCCUCAGUAAAAAACAAGACUUUCUGCAUCACCUUGUCAAACUCUAUCCACAAAGUCCUAGUAAAGCCCUCUGCAGUAAGGAUGACAACCAUAACUACAGCCCCACGAAGACUGACUGGGGUGGUGAAGGCCUGUUUUCUCCUAAUGAUCUUGGGCAG
Molecule: long non-coding RNA, 3671 nt
Organism: Nycticebus coucang (slow loris)
Lineage: Eukaryota; Metazoa; Chordata; Mammalia; Primates; Lorisidae
Exons: 3
Source: RefSeq, a predicted model, not a curated record